GCUGGGGAUACAGCUCAGUUGGUUGAGUGCCUGCCUCCCAUGCACAAGGCCCUGGGUUCAAUCCCUAGCACCACAGUA
Molecule: transfer RNA, 78 nt
Filed under: Marmota monax (woodchuck)
Lineage: Eukaryota; Metazoa; Chordata; Mammalia; Rodentia; Sciuridae
Description: tRNA.Gly
Source: RNAcentral